This 323-nucleotide ribosomal RNA is filed under the name uncultured Glissomonadida. RNAcentral describes it as "SSU rRNA". The stretch from base 86 to 323 matches the Rfam family "Eukaryotic small subunit ribosomal RNA", at positions 716 to 955 of the family's 1831-position model. Lineage: Eukaryota; Cercozoa; Glissomonadida. The record is from RNAcentral.
AACUUCUGGUUUGGCGCGCGCGGCCCGUUGCGGCAACGCAGUGUGUGCCGUUGUGCGCCUGCCAUCCUUCUGGCGUUUGGGUGUGCCCUUCACUGGGAUUGCAUCUGGGUGUCAAGAUCUUUUACUUUGAAAAAAUUAGAGUGUUUAAAGCAGGCUUGCGCAAUGAAUACAUUAGCAUGGAAUAAUAAUUUAGGACUUCUGUUCUAUUUUGUUGGUUUCUAGGAUGGAAGUAAUGAUUGAUAGGGAUAGUUGGGGGUGCUAGUAUUCAGCGGCCAGAGGUGAAAUUCUUGGAUUCGCUGAAGACUAACUUAUGCGAAAGCAUU